UUUUGGGAUUUUGGGAGGGAUUUGGGGGAUUUUUUUUGUGGGAAUUUUGGGUUUUUUGGGAGGGAUUUGGGGGAUUUUUGGGCAGAAUUUUGGGGUUUUUUGGGAGGGAUUUUGGGGAUUUUUGGGACAGAAUUUUGGGGAUUUUUGGGAGGGAUUUGGGGGAUUUUUGGGGCAGAAUUUUGGGUUUUUUUGGAAGGGAUUUCGGGGUUUUUUGGGGAGGAAUUUUGGGAUUUUUUUGGGAGGGAUUUUGGGGAUUUUUGGAGCAGAAUUUUGGGGCUUUUUGGAAGGGAUUUUGGGUGGAAUUUUUUGGAUUUUGGGGUGGGAUUUGGGGGAUUUUUGUUGUGGGAAUUUUGGGGUUUUUUGGGUGGGAUUUGGGGUUUUUUUGGAAGGGAUUUUGGGGAUUUUUUGGCAGAAUUUUGGGUUUUUUUGGAAGGGAUUUUGGGGUUUUUUGGGAGGGAUUUUGGGUGGAAUUUUUGGGAUUUUGGGAGGGAUUUGGGGGAUUUUUUUUGUGGGAAUUUUGGGUUUUUUGGGAGGGAUUUGGGAAUUUUUUGGGGAGAAUUUUGGGGUUUUUUGGGGAGGGAUUUGGGAUUUUUUUUGUGGGAAUUUUGGGGUUUUUUGGGAGGGAUUUUGGGAUUUUUGGGCAGAAUUUUGGGGUUUUUGGGAGGGAUUUUGGGGAUUUUUGGGGCAGAAUUUUGGGAUUUUUUUGGGAGGGAUUUUGGGGAUUUUUGGGCAGAAUUUUGGGAAUUUUGGGAGGGAUUUUGGGGAUUUUUGUUGUGGGAAUUUUGGGGUUUUUUGGAAGGGAUUUUGGGGAUUUUUGGGGCAGAAUUUUGGGGUUUUUUGGCUGGGAUUUGGGAUUUUUUUGGGAAGGAUUUUGGGGAUUUUUGGAAGGGAUUUUGGGUUUUUUUGGGGAGGGAUUUUGGGGGAUUUUGGGGUUUUUUGGGGCAGAAUUUUGGGGGUUUUGGGUGGGAUUUGGGAUUUUUUUGGAAGGGAUUUUGGGGAUUUUUGGGGCAGAAUUUUGGGCAUUUUGGGGUGGGAUUUUUGGGAUUUUGGGAAUUAUUUGGAAGGGAUUUGGGGGAUUUUGGGGCAGAAUUUUGGGGUUUUUUGUGGGAAUUUUGGGGAUUUUUGGAGCAGAAUUUUGGGGUUUUUUGGAAGGGAUUUUGGGGAUUUUUGGGGCAGAAUUUUGGGUUUUUUUGGGAGGAAUUUGGGGGAUUUUUGGGUGGGAUUUUGGGGAUUUUUGGGACAGAACUUUGGGGUUUUUUGGGUGGGAUUUUAGUUGAAAUUUUUGAGAUUUUGGGGUUUUUUUUUUGGGUACCAUUUAUCCCUUUUUCAAUCCUUU
Molecule: long non-coding RNA, 1336 nt
Filed under: Cyanistes caeruleus (blue tit)
Lineage: Eukaryota; Metazoa; Chordata; Aves; Passeriformes; Paridae
Description: lncRNA (ENSCCEG00000001956.1)
Source: RNAcentral